AAGAACCUUUGCGCUUUUGGAGCGGCCGAUGUCUGAUUAGCUUGUUGGUGAGGUAAAGGCUUACCAAGGCUUCGAUCAGUAGCUGGUCUGAGAGGACGGCCAGCCACACUGGGACUGAGACACGGCCCAGACUCCUACGGGAGGCAGCAGUGGGGAAUUUUGGACAAUGGGGGCAACCCUGAUCCAGCCAUGCCGCGUGAGUGAAGAAGGCCUUCGGGUUGUAAAGCUCUUUCAGCCGGAACGAAACGGUUACGGUUAAUACCCGUGACUACUGACGGUACCGGAAGAAGAAGCACCGGCUAACUACGUGCCAGCAGCCGCGGUAAUACGUAGGGUGCAAGCGUUAAUCGGAAUUACUGGGCGUAAAGCGUGCGCAGGUGGUUUUGUAAGUCAGAUGUGAAAUCCCCGGGCUUAACCUGGGAACU
Molecule: ribosomal RNA, 425 nt
Filed under: uncultured bacterium
Lineage: Bacteria
Description: bacterial SSU rRNA
Rfam family: Bacterial small subunit ribosomal RNA
Source: RNAcentral